RNAcentral lists this ribosomal RNA (873 nucleotides) under Eleutherodactylus emiliae (Emilia's robber frog). Its description in RNAcentral is "partial 16S ribosomal RNA". It matches the Rfam family "Bacterial large subunit ribosomal RNA", at positions 1472 to 2602 of the family's 2925-position model. The record is from RNAcentral. Lineage: Eukaryota; Metazoa; Chordata; Amphibia; Anura; Eleutherodactylidae.
AUAGCGUCGAAGCUAAACUAUCCCCCAAAUAAAAAUCCCCCAAACAAACUAGAACCCUGCCCCAGUACUGAGUAAUUCUAUACUUCUAUAGAAAAUUUAAUGUUAAAACUAGUAACAUGAGGGAAAUCCUCUCCUAAAUGCAAGCGUAAGUCAGAGCGGAUAGAACACUGACAAUUAACAACUUAAGCUAAAGUAACAACACCCAAGAAAACCUUACUUAAACCCCUGUUAACCUGACACAAGAGCAUUUAAAGAAAGACCAAAAGAAAAAGAAGGAACUCGGCAAAACUGAUUCCGCCUGUUUACCAAAAACAUCGCCUCUUGGAAACCUAUUAGAGGUCAAGCCUGCCCAGUGACAUGUUCAACGGCCGCGGUAUCCUAACCGUGCAAAGGUAGCGUAAUCACCUGUCUUCUAAUUAAAGACCUGUAUGAAAGGCAUCACGAGAAUCACACUGUCUCCUUUUUCCGGUCAGUGAAACUAAUCUCCCCGUGAAAAAGCGGGGAUAAUUAUACAAGACGAGAAGACCCUUUGGAGCUUAAGACAAAAUAACAUCUGCAACCCCUAAAUAACCUACACCUCCACCAGCACUUUACUUAUCAGUCUUCGGUUGGGGCAACCACGGAGUAAAAAUUAACCUCCAAGCUGAACGGAAAUAUCCUAAACAAAAAACCACAACUUUAUGUAUCAGCAAACUGACNCUAUUUGACCCAAUAUUUUGAUUAACGAACCAAGCUACCCCAGGGAUAACAGCGCAAUCCACUUCAAGAGCUCAUAUCGACAAGUGGGUUUACGACCUCGAUGUUGGAUCAAGGUACCCUGGUGGUGCAGCCGCUACUAAAGGUUCGUUUGUUCAACGAUUAAAACCUCACGUG